This is a long non-coding RNA of Hyalella azteca, 305 nucleotides long. RefSeq lists it as uncharacterized. The transcript has 2 exons. NCBI's taxonomy places the organism in Eukaryota, Metazoa, Arthropoda, Malacostraca, Amphipoda, Hyalellidae. The record is from RefSeq and is a predicted model, not a curated record.
GGUGUGCCUUGCGAUGCUGGCAGGCUAUGCAGCGGCGGCCCCAACCGUAGUAGGCCUUGGCCAUCACCAUCACCACCACGGCCAUCUCCUCGGCUAUGGAGGCUACGGACACGGCCACAUCAUAGGCGUUGCUCCCCACCAUCACCACCAUCACCACUACGUUGAUGACAUCUUCUUAGAUGUUGGCUAUGGCGGGUACGACUACUACUGAACCCUGGACAACAAAAUAGAGCAGCCGAUGACGGACGACUUUUCAACUUGUAGAUGUACACAUUUUCUCCAUUAAUAUUUAUUGAAACUGUGAA